GCACCAUUAGCUCAGUUGGUAGAGCAGCUGACUCUUAAUCAGCGGGCCCUAGGUUCGAGUCCUAGAUGGUGCA
Molecule: transfer RNA, 73 nt
Filed under: bacterium
Lineage: Bacteria
Description: tRNA-Lys
Rfam family: tRNA
About the family: Transfer RNA (tRNA) molecules are approximately 80 nucleotides in length.
Source: RNAcentral